Non-coding RNA from Dothidotthia symphoricarpi CBS 119687, 89 nucleotides. NCBI's taxonomy places the organism in Eukaryota, Fungi, Ascomycota, Dothideomycetes, Pleosporales, Dothidotthiaceae. The record is from the annotation of a RefSeq genome assembly.
GGUUGUGUAGUGUAGUGGUUAUCACUCCAGAUUUUGACGUGUAUGUUUCAAAACUUCUGGUAACCCCGGUUCGAGCCCGGGCACGACCU